GCCCGGUUAGCUCAGUUGUUAGAGCAUCAGACUUUUAAUCUGAGGGCCAUGGGUUCGAGUCCCAUGUCGGGCU
Molecule: transfer RNA, 73 nt
Filed under: Paramuricea clavata
Lineage: Eukaryota; Metazoa; Cnidaria; Anthozoa; Malacalcyonacea; Plexauridae
Rfam family: tRNA
About the family: Transfer RNA (tRNA) molecules are approximately 80 nucleotides in length. Their secondary structure includes four short double-helical elements and three loops (D, anti-codon, and T loops).
Source: Rfam by way of RNAcentral